AUGGGCGAAAGCCUGAUCCAGCCAUGCCGCGUGGGUGAAGAAGGCCUUAUGGUUGUAAACCCCUUUCAGCGGGGAAGAAAAUGACGGUACCCGCAGAAGAAGUCCCGGCUAACUUCAUUCCANCCCCCNCGGUAAUAUUCNANCNNCCGCGGUAAUAC
Molecule: ribosomal RNA, 158 nt
Filed under: uncultured Alphaproteobacteria bacterium
Lineage: Bacteria; Pseudomonadati; Pseudomonadota; Alphaproteobacteria
Description: partial 16S ribosomal RNA
Rfam family: Bacterial small subunit ribosomal RNA
Source: RNAcentral